GACGAACCGAGCGAACGUUGUUCGGAAUCACUGGGCUUAAAGGGCGCGUAGGCGGUCAGCACAAGUCAGUUGUGAAAUCUCCGGGCUUAACUCGGAAAGGUCAACUGAUACUGUGCGACUAGAGUGCAGAAGGGGCAACUGGAAUUCUCGGUGUAGCGGUGAAAUGCGUAGAUAUCGAGAGGAACACCUGCGGCGAAGGCGGGUUGCUGGGCUGACACUGACGCUGAGGCGCGAAAGCCAGGGGAGCGAACGGG
Molecule: ribosomal RNA, 254 nt
Filed under: uncultured bacterium
Lineage: Bacteria
Description: partial 16S ribosomal RNA
Rfam family: Bacterial small subunit ribosomal RNA
Source: RNAcentral